This 262-nucleotide ribosomal RNA is filed under the name uncultured archaeon. RNAcentral's name for it is "partial 16S ribosomal RNA". It matches the Rfam family "Archaeal small subunit ribosomal RNA", at positions 748 to 1009 of the family's 1478-position model. The record is from RNAcentral.
UAGCCGUAAACGAUACUCGCUAGGUGUCGGCCACGGUGCGACCGUUGUCGGUGCCGUAGGGAAGCCGUGAAGCGAGCCACCUGGGAAGUACGGCUGCAAGGCUGAAACUUAAAGGAAUUGGCGGGGGAGCACCACAACGGGUGGAGCUUGCGGUUUAAUUGGAUUCAACGCCGGAAAUCUUACCGGGACCGACAGCAACAUGAAGGCCAGGCUGAAGACUUUGCCGGAUUAGCUGAAGAGGAGGUGCAUGGCGUAGUCGUGU